UUACAGAGACGCUGUGACGAAAGGA
Molecule: unclassified non-coding RNA, 25 nt
Filed under: Mus musculus (house mouse)
Lineage: Eukaryota; Metazoa; Chordata; Mammalia; Rodentia; Muridae
Description: oocyte_clustered_small_RNA7017
Source: RNAcentral